Molecule: long non-coding RNA, 239 nt
Filed under: Elaeis guineensis (African oil palm)
Lineage: Eukaryota; Viridiplantae; Streptophyta; Magnoliopsida; Arecales; Arecaceae
Description: long non-coding RNA (EGUI_LNC000166)
Source: RNAcentral
UAAUAUAUAAACAAGAUAAAUGUGAUCAAAAUGAGAAUAUUUUUCUCUUGGUAAAAUGAGGAGCAAUGGCUGUAUAUAUUAAUGAAAAUAGAGCAAAAGUUUAUGGGACACGAUGUACCGAACUACCGAUAUCCACAAGCAGGGGCCUAAAUUAAGAAAGAAGGCCCAUAGACGAAAGAGCAUGUACAAUAGGUACCUGGAGAUGCAGAAGAGCAGUAUUUAUACUAGGCACUCCCCAA